This 263-nucleotide ribosomal RNA is filed under the name uncultured archaeon. Its description in RNAcentral is "partial 16S ribosomal RNA". It matches the Rfam family "Archaeal small subunit ribosomal RNA", at positions 718 to 982 of the family's 1478-position model. The record is from RNAcentral.
CACGACUACAUUAGAUACCCGGGUAGUCCCAGCCGUAAACUAUGCGCGUUAGGUGUAUCGGUGACCACGAGUUACCGAGGUGCCGAAGGGAAACCGUGAAACGUGCCGCCUGGGAAGUACGGUCGCAAGGCUGAAACUUAAAGGAAUUGGCGGGGAGCACCACAACAGGUGGAGCCUGCGGUUUAAUUGGACUCAACGCCGGGAAGCUCACCGGAUAGGACAGCAGAAUGAUUGCCGGGCUGAAGACUCUGCAUGACUAGCUG